This is a small nucleolar RNA of Manis pentadactyla (Chinese pangolin), 104 nucleotides long. RefSeq annotates it as small nucleolar RNA U13. NCBI's taxonomy places the organism in Eukaryota, Metazoa, Chordata, Mammalia, Pholidota, Manidae. The record is from RefSeq and is a predicted model, not a curated record. The transcript has a single exon.
AUCCUUUUGUAGUUCAUAGCCAUGAUGACUGGGUGUUCACGCUUUUGCGUGACAUAUGCCUCCCUCAAGCCUUGUUACGACGUUUGCCCAUUACCCAUCUGACA